UCUCCAUUCAUGUCAGGAACCCCCGGGACGCGCUCGGGAGAAAGGCCCGGGCGGGCCGCGCCCCUGGCAGCCCCCGGGGAUGCGCUGCGAGCGGGGCUGUGACAUUCGCCCGCGAUUGAACCCGGCCCGUCCCUGCCGCGGCCGCCAGAAGAAAGAGAAGAAAGGGAAGUGUAGGGAGGAGAGAAUGCGAGUGACAGAAAGAAGGAUUGAAAGAAGCAGCGCGAAGAAAGGAAGAUAUCCCUGCGCCGCGCUCCUUUAUCAGCGCUGUCAUCUGGAGCAGGGCCCUGCCCGCAUUGUCUCACCUUGGGCCGAACAAAAAAAGGGAUUUUUUUUUGUGCGGAUUCCUUUAGAGCUGCCAGGACCCGCACCUUAGGGGGUCGCGGGAGGCUGAAUGUGCAGCUGACAGCCCCGAGCGGCCCCGGGUGAUAUCAAUAAACCCCGACACUCCGCUCUUCAGCACUGCUCAUGUGGAAGAGCCAUGGAAAACCCUGGAAUUUCCUGAUCCACAGGCAAAGAACCUGAAAUCCACCUGAAUUCCAACACCUGGCUCCAAACCCUCCCCACUCGGGUUCAGCCCAGUUCACCACAACCACAAAUCCAUAAAUUAUCCUCGUUAUGAUAAAUCCAUAAAUUAUCCCCAAAGUCCUGCAGGAACGGCACAAAAUUCCCUCCAAGAAGCGAAAUUCCACCUUUGUAUCCUUUCCAAUUCCCACAGAACAGCACUUGGAUCCAUUUCAUUCUCACAGCAACAAAGUUCCCCUUCCAACCCUUCAAAAUUCUGUCAAAACCAUGGAAAAGGUUGGAUUGGGUGUCUUGUUUCACGUAUUAAAGAAGUUCAGUGAUAUUUCUA
This is a long non-coding RNA of Catharus ustulatus (Swainson's thrush), 850 nucleotides long. RefSeq lists it as uncharacterized. The record is from RefSeq and is a predicted model, not a curated record. NCBI's taxonomy places the organism in Eukaryota, Metazoa, Chordata, Aves, Passeriformes, Turdidae. The transcript has 2 exons.